RNAcentral lists this long non-coding RNA (220 nucleotides) under Mustela putorius furo (domestic ferret). RNAcentral's name for it is "lncRNA (ENSMPUG00000025017.1)". Lineage: Eukaryota; Metazoa; Chordata; Mammalia; Carnivora; Mustelidae. The record is from RNAcentral.
UUUUCAUUAUAGUCAGUCUUACUCAUUUUGUUAUUGUUAUUGUUGUUUUCAUUUUGUACAGCCCAAAUAUAAAGAACCAUCUAUGCAUCAUAAUAGAGAAGUACAUGGGCCCGUGUCAAAACUAGGAGAACAAAUGUUCCAGUGCCCAGAAUGGACAACAUCUGGUUUUGGAGGGAAGAUGUGGAAGAGUAGGGGACUCAUGUUUCAUCUGGUCCCUUGA